GUGGCGAACGGGUGAGUAACACGUGGGCAAUCUGCCCUUCACUCUGGGACAAGCCCUGGAAACGGGGUCUAAUACCGGAUAAUACUUCUGCCUGCAUGGGUGGGGGUUGAAAGCUCCGGCGGUGAAGGAUGAGCCCGCGGCCUAUCAGCUUGUUGGUGGGGUAAUGGCCUACCAAGGCGACGACGGGUAGCCGGCCUGAGAGGGCGACCGGCCACACUGGGACUGAGACACGGCCCAGACUCCUACGGGAGGCAGCAGUGGGGAAUAUUGCACAAUGGGCGAAAGCCUGAUGCAGCGACGCCGCGUGAGGGAUGACGGCCUUCGGGUUGUAAACCUCUUUCAGCAGGGAAGAAGCGCAAGUGACGGUACCUGCAGAAGAAGCGCCGGCUAACUACGUGCCAGCAGCCGCGGUAAUACGUAGGGCGCAAGCGUUGUCCGGAAUUAUUGGGCGUAAAGAGCUCGUAGGCGGCUUGUCACGUCGGAUGUGAAAGCCCGGGGCUUAACCCCGGGUCUGCAUUCGAUACGGGCUAGCUAGAGUGUGGUAGGGGAGAUCGGAAUUCCUGGUGUAGCGGUGAAAU
Molecule: ribosomal RNA, 578 nt
Filed under: Streptomyces sp. I14A-01112
Lineage: Bacteria; Bacillati; Actinomycetota; Actinomycetes; Kitasatosporales; Streptomycetaceae
Description: bacterial SSU rRNA
Rfam family: Bacterial small subunit ribosomal RNA
Source: RNAcentral